Molecule: long non-coding RNA, 2776 nt
Organism: Chenopodium quinoa (quinoa)
Lineage: Eukaryota; Viridiplantae; Streptophyta; Magnoliopsida; Caryophyllales; Amaranthaceae
Exons: 2
Source: RefSeq, a predicted model, not a curated record
AAUGAACCUGCGAGUUUUAUAUUGGGAUUAGAGUAUGAAGCAAUUUAUGGCAUUUUUAAGUUUUUGUUGUAAAAUAAUUUACUACCUUUCGUCGUCCCUUCUUCUGUAUACGGGGUGACCAUUAUUAUCUAAAAUAGUUUCUUGAUUGAAUUGCUUUGGAUAGUUUUUGCUGCACUUCUUAUCCACCAUGCAUGGGCAAUUUGGAUUGGAAUUUCCGCAUGGACCACGGACCAUGUAACGUGUAACGUGUAACGGCCUCAUAUAAUUCUGGUUUCGAUUCUUUGUCUGGGAUCUCUGCUUGUAUGAUUGUGUCUAUGAAUUGUGGAGUGUGUGGUAAUUCUUCUUCCUUUAUCCAUAAAAGUAUAUGAGCGUGAGGUAGCCCCCUCUUUUGAAAUUCCACAGUGCAUACAUCUGUAUUUUAGCCAUACAUUACUAAAAGUUAGUUGUAGGAUUUUUUUUUGUUAAUAAAAAGUUAAUUUUUUUUUUACUUUUAAUUGAACUGCUCAUCAUGGGUUCAUCAUAAAUUAUUAUAGUUUGCUUAUAUCUAAAAAGUAAACCGUGGAAAACUAUAAAAGUAGAUUAAGGAAACAAAAUGAAUUAUCUGUGAAGUGUGUGUAUGACCUGGUACGCAUUCAUUACUUUGCAAAUUCUUUUGUAAAUUACUUUACCUGCCACAUCAGUCCCAAAGUAAUGGUCUUCUUUAAGACACUUCAUGAGCUGUUUUAGUUUGAGCUUGAAUACUCUUGCCAUGAUAUCUGGUCGAUCUUCUGGCUUUUGUCCUUCAAUAUGACUCAACAUUGCUUGUACUUCUGGCCACUUUGUGUUUGCUGUAAAUGUGAUGAAUAGAUGUGGGCUUCCAUAUCGUCUACAGAUUGCCAUAGCAUCUUGAUAGUUUUGGUACAUGUAUCUUGGUCCUCCCGUGAAUGAUGCGGGUAGGAUAAUUCUUUUUCCCACUGCUGCCCCAUUCAUGUCUCCUUGUACUACAGCAUCUCGUAUGUUGUUGUAUAUUUCGCACCUAAAUUGCUGUUGGUUGUUUCGGAUAAAUGACAGCCUUUCUUCUUCAAUCGCGCAAUAGCAGUCUACUAUAAAUUGUAAAAGUAACCGACCUGCAGCAAGAUAUAAGGAAUUAUGUUUAAAUAUGAAUUUAUUGUCAUAUAAGUAAACGAAUUCUUGUAUCUUUUUUGGAGGUUUGUAUAUGUGUUAUAUAAGUAAAAACGUGCAUAUUAAUUUGAAUAAGAUAAGUAGUUAACCUGCUCGUAGUAGAGUUUGAGCUUCUGUUUUUCUUGUUUGCAGCCUGUAUGCGUAAAACUCUCUCAUGGUCACACAUUCCCUUUUGCCUUUUCCUAAUCCUUUUUUCUUAGCAUAUACUAUCCCAAGAUGGAAACUAUCUUCUCCAUAUGGGAAUAGCAGAGGAUAUUGUAAAGCCAUGAAGCUUGGGUGUAAUUCACUUAUUCUUUGUAAUCCUUCUGAUUUGUGCUCAAUUAUUAUAUCCCUUCCAUAUGUGUUAUGUCCAAUAUCUCCUACUAUAAGUGCAGCUAUCUCAGAUGAUGUUGGCAUGUUGUAUGUUUUUUUUUUGUUGUCUCUUGUACCAAGUAGCCUUAUGGUCCACUUUUCUCCCACAUUUUGUCUUAUUCUUUGUUGUGUCAUUCUAAAGGUUUGUGCUAGGGGAUUCACUUUGUCAAGCAUUGCUUUCAAUUUGGAAAGUAAUUCAAAAUUCAAUUUUGGGCUGUUUUCAUUCUUUUGAACAACAUCUGUUCUUAAAUUGAUUUCUAAUGCACCAUCAUAUAUAUAUAGCUGGGAAAUGAUGGUUGUUUAUCAUCCACCGGCAGAAGAGACCCUAUGCGAUGAUGAUUCUGUCCACUUACUCUAAAAAUAUAUGGCCCUGCUGUUGUGUUUACUAAAUUAUCAACCUUAGCGCCCAUUGACGUAAAUGCAAAACAUGAAUUGUAUAUACGAAUAAGUUGUCUGAAGACUGAUGCGCAUUUGUCUCCCAUGUAAUUCAACAAUUCUGCCAGCAACCUGGGUGGUUCUUUGAAUUUGGGUAAUUUUACUUUCCCCUCUUGACAACAUAGGUUGAAGAUUGUCCUGUUCUUUGUGCUUCUCUUCUUAACUCUCUCUUCGUACCACAUUAAUGCACCACACUCUGGACAUUCGUAUUCAGGUAAGCCUAAGCUUAUAUACUUGUAGCUUUCAUUAUAAGUUCCUGUACAUUAAAGUAAUUCAUGCUUAGAUAAUGAUAGUGAUUUAAAGAAAGUGCAAGGUAAGUUGGUAAGUUUUAUGAUACCUGCUGAAGUUGUUUCGAAUUGAAUUUGUUCAUUCUCUUCGUUAUUAAAUAAUCGCCUUCUUUUGUCUUUAUGCAAAUCUGCACAUACAAUUCAAAGAUGAGUAAAGUGUUAGCAAUUGACAAAAUAUUGUAAAUUUAUUUAUUGCAGGUUUUGGGUGUUCUAAUAGUUCUUAUGGACUAUGGCUAGAUUGCCCUUCUUAUGUUCAAUGACCAUCUAUGAGCUCGUAAAGCUGAUUAACCCUCUCUCAGAGUUGACAUGCUUCAUAAUGUCGAAAACACUCCACAAGAUUUGGGAACUACUUUCCGGUGCACCAAAAGGAGAAGCAGCUAAUCUAGGUACUUGGUAUAUAUUAUUAAAACAAAGGGACAUUCCUAAUUAUGUCCGUUUUCAAUUGUUGCAUUAAUUUAAGCCAAUAUAACUGAAACAGGAACAUGAAUACAGUAGCUGUUCACAUGAAUUGCAAUGAACAGUUCCUAAGUUCUAGAUUUAUA